RNAcentral lists this ribosomal RNA (388 nucleotides) under uncultured bacterium. RNAcentral describes it as "partial 16S ribosomal RNA". It matches the Rfam family "Bacterial small subunit ribosomal RNA", at positions 523 to 918 of the family's 1533-position model. The record is from RNAcentral.
AUACGUAGGGGGCGAGCGUUGUUCGGAUAUAUUGGGCGUAAAGGGUGCGUAGGCGGCCUUGUAAGUCCGCUGUGAAAGAUCAUGGCUUAACUGUGGUCAGCAUUUGAAACUGCAGGGUUUGAGUACAGGAGAGGAGAGUGGAAUUCCUAGUGUAGCGGUGAAAAGCGUAGAUAUUAGGAGGAACACAAGUGGCGAAGUCGCUUCACUAGCCCGAAACUGACGCUCAGUCACGAAAGCGUGGGUAGCAAAUAGGAUUAGAUACCCUAGUAUUCCACGCUGUAAACGAUGACAACUAAAUAUUGCCGCGAGGCAGUGUUGAAGCUAACGCAUUAAGUUGUCCGCCUGGGGAGUACGGUCGCAAGACUGAAACUUAAAGGAAUUGACGGGG